RNAcentral lists this ribosomal RNA (464 nucleotides) under uncultured Desulfobulbus sp. RNAcentral's name for it is "bacterial SSU rRNA". It matches the Rfam family "Bacterial small subunit ribosomal RNA", at positions 924 to 1382 of the family's 1533-position model. Lineage: Bacteria; Pseudomonadati; Thermodesulfobacteriota; Desulfobulbia; Desulfobulbales; Desulfobulbaceae. The record is from RNAcentral.
CACAAGCGGUGGAGUAUGUGGUUUAAUUCGAUGCAACGCGAAGAACCUUACCUGGUCUUGACAUCCCGGAGACCCUUAGGAAACUAGGGGGUGCUUCCAUCUGGAAGAAUCUGGAGACAGGUGCUGCAUGGCUGUCGUCAGCUCGUGCCGUGAGAUGUUGGGUUAAGUCCCGCAACGAGCGCAACCCUUGCCUUUAGUUGCCAGCAGUUCGGCUGGGCACUCUAAAGGGACUGCCGGUGUUAAACCGGAGGAAGGUGGGGAUGACGUCAAGUCCUCAUGGCCUUUAUGACCAGGGCUACACACGUACUACAAUGGCCGAUACAAAGGGCAGCGACACUGCGAGGUGAAGCCAAUCCCGUAAAAUCGGUCUCAGUCCGGAUUGGAGUCUGCAACUCGACUCCAUGAAGUUGGAAUCGCUAGUAAUCGUGGAUCAGCAUGCCACGGUGAAUACGUUCCCGGGCCUU